UACGUAGGGGGCGAGCGUUGUCCGGAAUCAUUGGGCGUAAAGCGCGUGUAGGCGGUUCAGUAAGUCUGCUGUGAAAGUCCAGGGCUCAACCCUGGGAUGCCGGUGGAUACUGCUGAACUAGAGUGCGGAAGAGGCGAGUGGAAUUCCCGGUGUAGCGGUGAAAUGCGCAGAUAUCGGGAGGAACACCAAUUGCGAAGGCAGCUCGCUGGGACGUUACUGACGCUGAGACGCGAAAACGUGGGGGAGCAAACAGG
This 254-nucleotide ribosomal RNA is filed under the name uncultured bacterium. Its description in RNAcentral is "partial 16S ribosomal RNA". It matches the Rfam family "Bacterial small subunit ribosomal RNA", at positions 524 to 776 of the family's 1533-position model. The record is from RNAcentral.